This 467-nucleotide ribosomal RNA is filed under the name Streptococcus sp. oral taxon C65. RNAcentral's name for it is "bacterial SSU rRNA". It matches the Rfam family "Bacterial small subunit ribosomal RNA", at positions 32 to 480 of the family's 1533-position model. Lineage: Bacteria; Bacillati; Bacillota; Bacilli; Lactobacillales; Streptococcaceae. The record is from RNAcentral.
ACGACGCUGGCGGCGUGCCUAAUACAUGCAAGUAGUACGCUGAAGAGAGGAGCUUGCUCUUCUUGGAUGAGUUGCGAACGGGUGAGUAACGCGUAGGUAACCUGCCUUGUAGCGGGGGAUAACUAUUGGAAACGAUAGCUAAUACCGCAUAACAAUGGAUGACACAUGUCAUUUAUUUGAAAGGGGCAAUUGCUCCACUACAAGAUGGACCUGCGUUGUAUUAGCUAGUAGGUGAGGUAACGGCUCACCUAGGCGACGAUACAUAGCCGACCUGAGAGGGUGAUCGGCCACACUGGGACUGAGACACGGCCCAGACUCCUACGGGAGGCAGCAGUAGGGAAUCUUCGGCAAUGGGGGCAACCCUGACCGAGCAACGCCGCGUGAGUGAAGAAGGUUUUCGGAUCGUAAGCUCUGUUGUAAGUCAAGAACGAGUGUGAGAGUGGAAAGUUCACACUGUGACGGUAGCU